This 253-nucleotide ribosomal RNA is filed under the name uncultured bacterium. Its description in RNAcentral is "partial 16S ribosomal RNA". It matches the Rfam family "Bacterial small subunit ribosomal RNA", at positions 524 to 776 of the family's 1533-position model. The record is from RNAcentral.
UACGUAGGGUGCGAGCGUUAAUCGGAAUUACUGGGCGUAAAGCGUGCGCAGGCGGCUUUGCAAGACAGAGGUGAAAUCCCCGGGCUCAACCUGGGAACUGCCUUUGUGACUGCAAGGCUAGAGUACGGCAGAGGGGGAUGGAAUUCCGCGUGUAGCAGUGAAAUGCGUAGAUAUGCGGAGGAACACCGAUGGCGAAGGCAAUCCCCUGGGCCUGUACUGACGCUCGUGCACGAAAGCGUGGGGAGCAAACAGG